CCUUCCUCCUCCAAGGGGUCCAAUCCCCCAGCCCCCAUUUCCUAAAUUCAAAAUCGAGGGCUCAGAGAGAUUUCGAUGCACCCUGCCCCCUCAAAGUCCUCCGGCAAGGGUGUGGCCAAGCUGGGCAGUGCCCUGGACUGGGUGGCUGCUCUGCUCCUUGGGUAGGGUGGACAGGGCGGGGUCAAGUUGUCACCUCUUUGAGCUUCUGUUUCCUUAUUUAUCAAUCAAUUCCAGGCAGGAGGAAGCACUUUGGUGGGCCCUGGAGGGCAUUGUGUUCACUCCACCUGUCUACCUGGGAGGAGGCGGAGGCCGUGAGGUGGGGAGACUCAGCCCAGGAUCCUGGGAGGGAAAGAGGAGCCAGCCAGCAGCCAGGCCUCUGCCUCCCAGCCCUGGCCUCCUCUGAGGUGUAAGGCUGGCUUGCUCACUGCCGCCCUUGUGCCUUUGCCAGUGGGUGAGGCUGGCUGGCUGCCUGUCCCUGCUCCUGCUCUCCCAACUGACCACAGGAGCCUCGUGUCACAGCAAAGCCAUGGCUUCCCUGUGGCUACAGGGAUGGGUCACAGGGAGGAAGGGCUGCCCACUGGUUAGGGGUGCUGGCUGUGGGGUCAGAGCUGAAUCUGCAUCUUGGCUGCUGCUGUAUUGUGAGUCUUGACUGCUUGGGGCUGGGUACGUAGUAGUUGCUCUGUGUGCAGGCAUCAUCGCCAUGGCUGACUGCGGUCCCACAGAUUUGGAAGGUGUGGUGAGCUGGGUGCCGGGGUCCGGGAAGCUCGCAGGCCAGAUGCACUGCACAGAUGCCAGCAGUGGGGUUUGCCAAAGGCCAUCAUCUCAUCCCUGGGGGUUCCACAGUCUCCCAGCUCCUCCUCUCUGGCCUGCCCACCUGCCUCUUGGUCACAAGUGUAAACACAGGUUUCUCUUCCAGGCCUGGCAAGGAGGCAAGAGGCGGCUUCUGUCUGCAAACAAAGUGCAUGCAGCAGGCCCAGCUCUAAGCCACACCAUGACCCCCCUCCCCAGUGUUUCCCUGUAACUACACUGCACUGUGAAAGGAACUUUGCAGGUGUCACAAAGGUGACUGAUCAGCAAACCUUAAGAGGAGAUGAUCUGGCUCAGCUGACCUUGUCACAUGAGUCCUUUAAAAGCAGAGCAUUUUCUCUGACUGGUGACAGCAGCUGGGGCCCAAGAGACCCCGGGUGAGAGGGGUAGGCAUGAGGCAGUGCGGUGCAGGGGUCUCAGGGCAAGGCAGUGAGGAGCUAAGAGCCCCCAACCAACACCAGCAAGGACACAGGACCUCAGUCCUACAGCCACAAGGAGCUGGAUUCUGCUGACACCCCCAGAUAAGCCCAGGAGCCUCCAGGCGAGGGCCCGGCCCUGCUGAUACCUUGAGGUCAGCCUUGUGAGACCCUAAGCAGAUAACCC
RNAcentral lists this long non-coding RNA (1410 nucleotides) under Homo sapiens (human). RNAcentral's name for it is "HSALNT0278585". Lineage: Eukaryota; Metazoa; Chordata; Mammalia; Primates; Hominidae. The record is from RNAcentral.